Long non-coding RNA from Astatotilapia calliptera (eastern happy), 1584 nucleotides. Lineage: Eukaryota; Metazoa; Chordata; Actinopteri; Cichliformes; Cichlidae. The record is from Ensembl.
GGAAAAAUUGAGCAGCAGUGGACAGGCUGCUAUCAACCACUGUAAUUUUUAAUAUGACAAAUCUAGGAACAAACCAACCAUUUCAAGUUAAUUUGACUGGAUGAAGGCAUGCACAUAAAGUAACUGUACCUUUCUCUAAUAGAAAAUAUAUUUAAUUACUAACUUAGUAAAACACAAGAAUGGAUUGUUGGUCAAGAAAAGAUGCCAAGAUAAGCUACGGAUAGGAAAAGGGACUACUUAGGAGUCUGUGGUCUAGGUGAAAACAAUAAUGAUGACAUUAUUAGCCAGUAAAACUGUGAGCUCCCAAUGCAAUGUAAUUAAAUUAAUAAUAAACUAUUUGCAAUUACAAUGGAGAGAAUUACCUAUAAGGCAAAGUGCAGAAACACUGAAACAGUUGUUCAUAUCAAACAGAUUCAAUGCCAUGUAUGCACAUUAAACCAAACACAAAUACAAAACAACACCAUCGACAACAACAAAAAUAAAUGGAAAAAAUAAAUUAAAUAUCCCAUUAAAAAAAAAAAAAGCCCAGAGGGCCUUUAUAUGAGCUGGGCAGAGGGAAAGAACUGAGGAUGGAGGCACUUAGCCCGUGGUAAAUCACUGCAUUAAUAAAAAUGCACGAAGAGGAUGUCUCAUUUGUAAAGUGAAACUGAAAAUGAACCCCUGCUGAGGGGGUGGAGCUUCAAAUAUGUUAUUAUUAAAGAAUAAAUCACCUUCUGUUGUGUUCUUCAUGAUGAUUGUUUGGUGAGACCAGCUUUCACAGACUAUUCGUUCAGCCUGUGAAGAAAAGAAACAGCAGAGAUCUCAGUGCAGCAGGGUUUCUUUCUGCUGCCCCAUGAACAAUGUGGCCCUUAUCCACUGUGGCAUCUUUUUGGAGAGAUGUAUGGUCAGGUCCUUAAAUAUAUUGGAAAACAGCUCAUGUUUUGUCAUUGUGCCUCAAUACAAGUGAACAAAAUGCGAUGUAAAGUGUGAAAAUUCAGCUUCAAGAAAUUUGGGAGAAAAAAAAAAUUAGAAACAAAACAAACAGAAAAACAAUUAACCAAUCAAAAACUGCAUGACAACGAAAUGCCCCAAAAUAGACCCCUGCCCAUCCUUCACUAUGAGCACGGGCGUGUCCUCCUUCUUUUUUUAAGAUGUUAUUUUUGGGACUUUAAGCCCUUAUUGGAUAGAGAGAGUGUAGAUAGAAGCGGAGAGAGAGUGAAAGACAUACAGCAAAGGUCUGCAGGUUGGAGUCAAACCCUGGCCUACUGCUUUGCGGCCAUAAAGCAUAUGGUCGCCUGCUCACCCACUGAGCCAAACCGGCGCCAUGGGCACGUCCUUCUUUCAGGUUAAAAAUUAGCCAGUGUUUACUUUACAAAGGCUGGAAACAGAGCCAAGAAAAAGUGCACUAGUCUAGUUCCCUCUCAGACCACUUGAAUUACACCAUGUGUUUGAGUCAUCUCCAAAUGCAGUAAAAUGGCGUUGCCUACUGAGCUCAUUAAAAUGGCUGCAGUUUAAAAAAAAUUCUGAUGGCUGUCGGGAUUCCCCCUCAGCAUCCUAUUACAUGGAUGUACGAUAUCAAUUUAAAAAUCCAAGGUGACAUCAUCC